This 683-nucleotide long non-coding RNA is filed under the name Helianthus annuus (common sunflower). RNAcentral describes it as "hypothetical non coding rna". Lineage: Eukaryota; Viridiplantae; Streptophyta; Magnoliopsida; Asterales; Asteraceae. The record is from RNAcentral.
UUGCCAAUAUGAAUUUGUUAUGGCCCAACUGAUUUAAUCAUUUAAUCCAUCUGCAGACCCCAACCACCACUGCAACCAUUGCAACCAUCACCAGUCAACACCACAUCCCAAAUCUGAAAACCCCUCACGAGAACCCUAGAUUUGGCCAACGUCUACCGCCGUAUCUCCCCAACCAAAAAGAUCUGAACUCACAUUCUUCUCUGUUACAAGAUCUGAACUAACCGCCAUCCAAGAUCUGAGCCAGAUCUGGUUGUGAUUUGGUCUAAUGAACUUACCUUCUUCUCUGUUACAUAAGCCUUUGCCACCUGAUAUAUUGUUUUGGUGUUGGGAAUGGAGAUGGUGAUUUGUGCAGGAGGUUGGUUUGUUGGUUGUGGCGAUAGUGGAGACCUCAUAAGAGAGAGAGAGACGAGAAAGAGAGGGAUGGAGGGAUAGAGAGAGAGAGAGAGUAGAGAGAAGUGUAUUUUAUUUAUUGUUUUCUAUGAUUAUUUAUUUUAGUAUUUUGGGUAAAAUGACCAAAACAUCCUCAUGUGGGGUCCAUUUGGUCAUAUUUAACCAUAAAAACUAACUAUGUUAGGGCUAAAGGACGUAACAUGUAAGGAUUUGCAAACAUUGGGUACGUUUUUUGUACUUUUUGAAGAUAAAGGACACACUUUGUAAUAAGUGACAUACAUAAAGGACGAAUU